RNAcentral lists this ribosomal RNA (497 nucleotides) under uncultured bacterium. Its description in RNAcentral is "partial 16S ribosomal RNA". It matches the Rfam family "Bacterial small subunit ribosomal RNA", at positions 28 to 507 of the family's 1533-position model. The record is from RNAcentral.
GAUGAACGCUGGCGGCGUGCCUAAUACAUGCAAGUCGAGCGAACAGACGAGGAGCUUGCUCCUCUGACGUUAGCGGCGGACGGGUGAGUAAUACGUGGAUAACUUACCUAUAAGACUGGGAUAACUUCGGGAAACCGGAGCUAAUAUCGGAUAAUAUAUUGAACCGCAUGGUUCAAUAGUGAAAGACGGUUUUGCUGUCACUUAUAGAUGGAUCCGCGCCGCAUUAGCUAGAUGGUAAGGUAACGGCUUACCAAGGCAACGAUGCGUAGCCGACCUGAGAGGGUGAUCGGCCACACUGGAACUGAGACACGGUCCAGACUCCUACGGGAGGCAGCAGUAGGGAAUCUUCCGCAAUGGGCGAAAGCCUGACGGAGCAACGCCGCGUGAGUGAUGAAGGUCUUCGGAUCGUAAAGCUCUGUUAGUAGGGAAGAACAAAUGUAUGAGUAACUAUGCACGUCUUGACGGUACCUAAUCAGAAAGCCACGGCUAACUACGUG